CCCUUAGAUGUCCGGGGUUGCACGCGCGCUACACUGAAGGAAUCAGCGUGCUAAAACCAUUGUCGAAAGGCAUUGGUAAACCCAUUAAAAUCCUACGUGAUUGGGAUCGGGAAUUGCAAUUAUUUCCCUUGAACGAGGAAUUCCCAGUAAGUGUGGGUCAUAAGCUCGCGUUGAUUACGUCCCUGCCCUUUGUACACACCGCCCGUCGCUGCCCGGGACUGAGCCGUUUCGAGAAAAGCGGGGACUGCUGCUGUCGGGGCUUUCGGGCCUUGGCUUCGGUGGAAACCGCUUUAAUCGCAGUGGCUUGAACCGGGCAAAAGUCGUANCA
Molecule: ribosomal RNA, 328 nt
Filed under: uncultured eukaryote
Lineage: Eukaryota
Description: partial 18S ribosomal RNA
Rfam family: Eukaryotic small subunit ribosomal RNA
Source: RNAcentral